UGGAGGAAACUCUGAUGCAGCGACGCCGCGUGAGCGAUGAAGCCCUUCGGGGUGUAAAGCUCUUUCGACGGGAACGAUAAUGACGGUACCCGAAGAAGAAGCUGCGGCUAACUACGUGCCAGCAGCCGCGGUAAUACGUAGGCAGCAAGCGUUGUUCGGAAUUACUGGGCGUAAAGAGUGUGUAGGCGGUGUUCUAAGUUUGUCGUGAAAUCUCCCGGCUUAACUGGGAGGGUGCGGCGAAAACUGGAAUGCUAGAGGAUGGGAGAGGUAAGCGGAAUUCCUGGUGUAGCGGUGAAAUGCGUAGAUAUCAGGAGGAACACCUGUGGUGUAGACAGCUUACUGGACCAUUUCUGACGCUGAGACACGAAAGCGUGGGUAGCAAACAGGAUUAGAUACCCUGGUAGUCCACGCCCUAAACGAUGCAUACUUGGUGUGAGCGAUUCAUUUCGUUCGUGCCGGAGCUAACGCGUUAAGUAUGCCGCCUGGGGAGUA
This 492-nucleotide ribosomal RNA is filed under the name uncultured bacterium. Its description in RNAcentral is "bacterial SSU rRNA". It matches the Rfam family "Bacterial small subunit ribosomal RNA", at positions 372 to 882 of the family's 1533-position model. The record is from RNAcentral.